This is a non-coding RNA of Anas platyrhynchos (mallard), 1850 nucleotides long. NCBI's taxonomy places the organism in Eukaryota, Metazoa, Chordata, Aves, Anseriformes, Anatidae. The record is from RefSeq and is a predicted model, not a curated record.
GGUUUUGGUUCUCUUGGGCCCUGAGGGGAACAGGAGAGUCAGGUAUCUCUCGGAGGGCCUCUGAGGAAGAUGGUGUGGCAAUCACCACGCUGAAGGUGGCAGAAGGCUGUGCCUGGAGCUGGCCUGAAGGCUCGGGGUGAAGCUCUUGGAGAUUGCCGUGUUGUGCCCUGCUCCCUUCCUCAAUGACUAGCUUCAGGAUUUUGCUGAAGGUUCCUUUCAUCUGAACACUAGGAUCUGCCCACUCCAGCCCAGGAUGGAGGUACAGAGUACCACAGAUGGAAAGAAGGGCUGUGAGCCAGUGCACCUCCCCUCGCUCCGCUGGACGUGUGCUGACGCAGGCGAGCUGAGCCUCUGCCCCGCAGGAUAUGGCUUCCUCAGCUUUGGCAGCACCUACAUGUCCUGGUUUCCUGUCAGAACGGGUCUGCUCAGAGCUGAAAAGUGCCUGCUCAGCACUUCGGUGCAGCUGACACAGCUCAGCUGCCUUUUCCCACAGAGCCUGGAGCCCCUGCUCCCUGGGGCUGUGUUCGAGGAAUCACACGCCUCAGGGGACCAGACCAGCUGUGUGUGUGUACUUCAGUGCAUACAGGGAUGUAGUAACAUCGGCCACGACCUGGGGUUGUUUCAGCUGUGCUGUAGCACUGGGAGAAUGUCAGUGCAGGUGGACUGGGGUGGGCUGACUGCUGGCUUUCAUAUGUGAUUGCUAAGGGGAGUUGUGCCUCUGCUGAGUGAUGGAUGAAGUUUGCUAGCAAUAAACUGCCUCUCUGAACUUCUCCUCUGUACCUGGACUGAUCGGGGCAGCUGCAGCCUCUAACCCUCCCACGCCUCCUGCAAGGAUGCUGCCUGCCUGCCUGAACCUUACAGCCGAGAUAAUUAUAGCCAGGUCUGCUAAGGAUCCAGCAGCAGGUAGCUCCCAUGGCCCAUGGAAUCUUAAUUAUAAAUGUUCGGUGAUUAGAGAUGGAUAAAAUCCAGACUGAUUUGGUGUUGCCAAGCAUGGAUGGAGUUUGGAUCUGUAUCCAGACUUUCCCAUCCCUUUAAUGGGCAAAAUUAGCUUUGAAUUGUAAUAGUCCAGAGCUGCUGAAUAACAUGGUUUGGGAUUAAAAAUUCUGCUCCUGUAUUUUCCCCUGGCUACUUUGUGGACUGCCAUAUGGGAAGUACAGUUUUGUGGCUCCAGCUCUGCAUCAACAGGACAAGCACUACUGUAAGAGCACCUGUGUCUUUUUUUUUUUUUUUUUUUUCCAGAGUUAUGAGUGAUACUGAUGUACCUGGGUAGGAUCUGAUUUUUUUGGGGAGAGAUGUUUCCUGGAGAGGUGAAAUCCUAUCCUUAAAAUUUGAUGCUGCAACAAGCAUUUUUUUUCCAUUUUUUUUCCAUUCAAAUGAGACCACAUUAUUUAGUCUCCAGGGAACUUCCUUUUGUAACGACUUUUAUGAUUAUGUUUGGGACUGCACAAGAGGAAGGGGGAUUUGUUAUGUUUUUCUUAGCUCUUGCUUCAAGUUUGGUCAUUCCAAUUUGCAAGGCACUACUAAUCCCCCCAAACAUGAGACUUUGGGAUAUUUCGCAAGUGUUAAGAGCUUCUGUCAUGUGAGACAUCCCCUGUAUUCUCUGCUUCCUUAGAUGUGUGCAAGAUGUUGAAAUCUGAUUAAGUCUUAUUGUGUCUUACUGUGCAUCAUCAUGCACAAAGGCACAGCCUCAGCUUCAUAUAACUGUAGAUAAGAGCACCAUUUAAGGCUCGUUAAAAAGUCUAUUACAUUUCCAUCUCUGCUCUCCAAAUAUAUUAAAGUGUUAGCUUUUAGCUGUCCUUAUUUCUGGCAGUAGGUGAGCAAAUGUCACGCUAAGAUGGAUUUCAAAGCCU